Oncorhynchus gorbuscha (pink salmon) is the source of this 2198-nucleotide long non-coding RNA. RefSeq lists it as uncharacterized. The record is from RefSeq and is a predicted model, not a curated record. The transcript has 2 exons. Lineage: Eukaryota; Metazoa; Chordata; Actinopteri; Salmoniformes; Salmonidae.
UGUGUGUGUGUGUGUGUGUGUGUGUGUGUGUUCCUCUUUCUCCACCUGCAGAUCAGGUUAGAUCCGUUUUGUGAAAUUCGCAUGCAAAUUCUCUGCUUCUAUUUGCCUAUGAUUUGUCCAUAUUUCUCUGCAAUGAAAAUCCUUCUGCAAGUGUGUGUCAGUCAGGUUCUGCAAUCAUGUCAGAGCUAACAGGCUACAGAGUGUCUGAUAAUAACAGCUCACCACUUCCUUCCUUCCCCACUUAAAAAGAGAGGUAGAAACUGUUCAUAGCUGCAGUAGUGUAGUGCACCAGUAGUGUAGUGCACCAGUAGUGUAGUGCACCAGUAGUGUAGUGCACCAGUAGUGUAGUGCACCAGUAGUGUAGUGCACCAGUAGUGUAGUGCACCUGGCCUGACUGCAUAAACAUGUCCAUUGCAUUCCAAAUGGCACCCUGUUCCCUACAUUGGGCCCUGUAGGCCCGGGUCCAAGAUAGGGUGCCAUUUGGGAUGCGGUUCUCACUCACCUCUAGGGCCCUCACUAGGACAGUCCAGCUGUCUCACUAUUGAACUGGACCUUUUUAGUGUUCAUUAGGGCACACCGUAGCAAAAUGUUUUGCAAUAGAAAAUUAACAUUUGUGUUGUUAUUGGAGACGUUCGGGUAGAAUCUCUCCAUUUUAAUUGUUGUUGUUGUUGAACCACACCGACGCAUCAGCAAGCUCUGCUGUGUUAAACCAGACGCUAACUGUGUUGUGGUCUGUAACAUGUUGAUGAUGCUUUGUGUCUGGACAUACAGACAAAGAAUAUCUGUUAAAAUGACUAUUUAAUUAAGUGUUAAUGAAAGGCGUGUAUAAACAGGGGCGCAACUUUCACUGGGAACAGGGUGGGACAUGUCCCCCCCACAUUUGGAAAUUGUAUUUUUGUGCCCCUCCCCCCCAGUUUUAUCAUUGGAACGUGAUACUAAACGAGGCCACAGUGUGCUUUAGGACCAUGCGGACGCCUCCGAGGUUGGGUAGGCUGUUUGGAGUGUUUAUCUGACUGGAUACAUUUUGUUUUUGAUAUGUCCUCCCCAACUUCUAAAACCAAAGAUUCGCCCCUGUGUAUAAAUGUGUGUCUGGCUUCAGAAAGAAAAGCAUUAUUGAAGAAGACGACGUCUUCACAGGUAUCUUAUCUGUACAGGGAGGCAUUAAGGUGGCUGACUGUUCCUUUUUUACCCUGUGUGAGAUUGGUCAUUUUUCUAGUGUGGGCAGCAGCCAGUGAACAGACCUUAUUCCAGGUAUCUUAAUAGUGACGUCUAUAUUAAUUCUCAGUCAUAACUCAGUCUACGUCCCAAAUCGCAACAUAAUUCCUAUACAGUGACUUACUUUUUACCCAAAUCCAUAGGGAAUAACCCGGGUCCAUUCAUCCCAAAUGGCACCAUAUUCCCUAUAUAGUGACCUACUUUUUACCAUAAUCCAUAGGGAAUAACCCGGGUCCAUUCAUCCCAAAUGGCACCCUUUUCCCUUUAAAGUGCACUAGGGACCAGAAGUAGGGUGCUGUAAAGGGAAUAUGGCGCCAUUUUGGACGACUCCUAAAACUGACCAAUGAGCAUCAGUAAUGUCCUAAGACUGACCAAUGAGCAUCAGUAAUGUCCUAAGACUGACCAAUGAGCAUCAGUAAUGUAAUCACAAAUAACUUUGGUUAUGGAGCUCAGAGUUGAGAGCCUGUCAGACUUCUGGUCCUUCCUCCUUGAUUGGUUAAUCAAUGUAGAUAUCCAGGUAAAGGUCAAACAUUCUGGCUCUGCUUCUUUGUUGAUUUAAUCAUUGUACUUUUUUCAAUCGGUUAUUAAAGGCUCCCUGUCUGAUUUCAGUCGAGCCAGAAAUAAAUACUGUAAUUGUUUCAACAUUUUAUCUCCUAGAAAAGAAAAAGGUAAAAACAUAGAAUGUAUUUGUUACAGUAUAGUCAUAGUAGUCUGGCUGAUGAGACUAUAUUCACAGUUCUCUCUCCACUAACAGUCAAGUAUUCACAGUUACCCACGUUUAAAACCAUGAGGCUGCAAUGAAAGCAAAAUGGAGGAUUCUGUUGCUGUUUCCUAUGUAUAUUCAUAUAUUUGUGUUGAAGCUGUAUAUUAUCUCUUGCUUUUCUUUGUCUUUGUAUGAAUAAUGUAUGUUUACACGCUCUCCUUACUCUCCCAAAUAACUGCUCUAUUUUGUAAUAAAAUACAAGCUGACCAUCCUUACUCCA